CCUACGGGUGGCUGCAGUGGGGAAUAUUGCACAAUGGGCGCAAGCCUGAUGCAGCAACGCCGCGUGAGCGAUGAAGGCCUUCGGGUCGUAAAGCUCUGUCCUAAGGGAAGAAUACUGACGGUACCUUAGGAGGAAGCCCCGGCUAACUACGUGCCAGCAGCCGCGGUAAUACGUAGGGGGCUAGCGUUAUCCGGAAUUACUGGGCGGAAAGGGUGCGUAGGCGGCCGAUUAAGCCAGGGGUGAAAGGCUACGGCUCAACCGUAGUAAGCCCUUGGAACUGAUUGGCUUGAGUGCAGGAGAGGAGAGUGGAAUUCCUAGUGUAGCGGUGAAAUGCGUAGAUAUUAGGAGAAACACCAGUGGCGAAGGCGACUCUCUGGACUGUAACUGACGCUGAGGCACGAAAGCGUGGGGAGCAAACAGGAUUAGAUACCCGAGUAGUC
Molecule: ribosomal RNA, 440 nt
Filed under: uncultured bacterium
Lineage: Bacteria
Description: bacterial SSU rRNA
Rfam family: Bacterial small subunit ribosomal RNA
Source: RNAcentral